AAAAAGACAAACCCUGCGUUUCCGUGUUCAACGACGUUUGACUGUUCGUCUUAUAUGAAUUUUUUUUUAAAUUAGUAUUUUCAUUGUUGUGAGAUGAUAAAACAUGAUUAAUACUUUAUGCGUGACUUUGUUUUUUUAAUUUUUUCCAUAAUUUUUUUAAAUAAGACGGACGGUCAAACGUUGGACAUGGAAACCCAGGGUUUGUCUUUUU
Oryza rufipogon (brownbeard rice) is the source of this 211-nucleotide microRNA precursor. It matches the Rfam family "MIR812 microRNA precursor family". The record is from Rfam. Lineage: Eukaryota; Viridiplantae; Streptophyta; Magnoliopsida; Poales; Poaceae.